This 416-nucleotide ribosomal RNA is filed under the name uncultured Flavobacterium sp. Its description in RNAcentral is "bacterial SSU rRNA". It matches the Rfam family "Bacterial small subunit ribosomal RNA", at positions 551 to 973 of the family's 1533-position model. Lineage: Bacteria; Pseudomonadati; Bacteroidota; Flavobacteriia; Flavobacteriales; Flavobacteriaceae. The record is from RNAcentral.
UCACUGGGUUUAAAGGGUCCGUAGGCGGUUUAGUAAGUCAGUGGUGAAAGCCCAUCGCUCAACGGUGGAACGGCCAUUGAUACUGCUAGACUUGAAUUAUUAGGAAGUAACUAGAAUAUGUAGUGUAGCGGUGAAAUGCUUAGAGAUUACAUGGAAUACCAAUUGCGAAGGCAGGUUACUACUAAUGGAUUGACGCUGAUGGACGAAAGCGUGGGUAGCGAACAGGAUUAGAUACCCUGGUAGUCCACGCCGUAAACGAUGGAUACUAGCUGUUGGGAGCAAUCUCAGUGGCUAAGCGAAAGUGAUAAGUAUCCCACCUGGGGAGUACGUUCGCAAGAAUAAACUCAAAGGAAUUGACGGGGGCCCGCACAAGCGGGGAGCAUGUGGUUUAAUUCGAUGCUACGCGAGGAACCUUA